Small nucleolar RNA from Epinephelus fuscoguttatus (brown-marbled grouper), 150 nucleotides. Lineage: Eukaryota; Metazoa; Chordata; Actinopteri; Perciformes; Serranidae. The record is from RefSeq and is a predicted model, not a curated record.
GUUCAGUGAAGAUACGAUGACGAGUCGGAACAGGACUCAGUCUGGCUCUGUGGGUCACUGCUGCAGAUUCACGUUCUGUGGCUCUGCUUCAGUUCCUCAGAGCAGUGAGUCCUUUUUGGUUGAAGACAUUGAGGCAUUUGUCUGAGAACG